GCAACCAUAGCUCAGAUGUUAGAGCACUGAUCUCGUAAACCAGGGGUCGCGAGUUCGAAUCUCGCUGGUGGCU
This 73-nucleotide transfer RNA is filed under the name Araneus ventricosus. It matches the Rfam family "tRNA". From Rfam's summary of the family: Transfer RNA (tRNA) molecules are approximately 80 nucleotides in length. Their secondary structure includes four short double-helical elements and three loops (D, anti-codon, and T loops). The record is from Rfam by way of RNAcentral. Lineage: Eukaryota; Metazoa; Arthropoda; Arachnida; Araneae; Araneidae.